CCUGCGGGAUGCUGCAGUGGGGAAUAUUGGACAAUGGGCGAAAGCCUGAUCCAGCCAUGCCGCGUGUGUGAAGAAGGCCUUCGGGUUGUAAAGCACUUUCAGUGGGGAAGAAAGCCUUGGGGCUAAUACCCUCGAGGAAGGACAUCACCCACAGAAGAAGCACCGGCUAACUCCGUGCCAGCAGCCGCGGUAAUACGGAGGGUGCGAGCGUUAAUCGGAAUUACUGUGCGUAAAGCGCGCGUAGGCGGUCUGAUAAGCCGGUUGUGAAAGCCCCGGGCUCAACCUGGGAACGGCAUCCGGAACUGUCAGGCUAGAGUGCAGGAGAGGAAGGUAGAAUUCCCGGUGUAGCGGUGAAAUGCGUAGAGAUCGGGAGGAAUACCAGUGGCGAAGGCGGCCUUCUGGACUGACACUGACGCUGAGGUGCGAAAGCGUGGGUAGCAAACAGGAUUAGAUACCCUGGUAGUC
RNAcentral lists this ribosomal RNA (465 nucleotides) under Vreelandella stevensii. RNAcentral's name for it is "partial 16S ribosomal RNA". It matches the Rfam family "Bacterial small subunit ribosomal RNA", at positions 338 to 795 of the family's 1533-position model. The record is from RNAcentral. Lineage: Bacteria; Pseudomonadati; Pseudomonadota; Gammaproteobacteria; Oceanospirillales; Halomonadaceae.